GGGCCUUUGCUUCGGAAUACAUAGCAAUGAAAUAAUAGAAAUAAGGACGUGUGGUUCUUAUUUUUGUUGGUUUUCUAAGACCCGCCGUAAUAAUUAAUAAGGGAAUAAUUCGGGGGCAUCAGUAUUCAAUCGUCAGAGGUGAAAUUCUUGGAAUUGAUUGAAGACUAACUACUGCGAAAAGCAUUUGCCAAGAAUGUUUUCAUUAAUCAGUGAACGAAAGUUAGGGGAAUCGAAGACGAUCAGAUACCCGUCGUAGUCCUUAACCAAUAAACUAAUCCCGACUAGGGAUCGGACGGUGUUUAUUAUUUUUGACCCGUUUCGGCCCCUUACGAGAAAAUCAAAAGUUUUUGGGUUCUGGGGGGAGUAAGGUCGCAAGGCUGAAACUUAAAGAAAAUGACGGAAGGGCCCCCCCAGGCGGGGGACCUGCGGCUUAAUUUGACUCAACACGGGGGAAACUCACCAGGUCCAGACACAAUAAAGGAUUGACAGAUUGAGAGCUCCUUUCUUGAUUUUGUGGGUGGUGGUGCACGGCCGUUCUUAGUUGGUGGAGUGAUUUGUCUGCUUAAUUGCGAUAACGAACGAGACCUUAACCUGCUAAAUAGCCAGGCCCCGCUUUGGCGGGUCGCCGGCUUCUUAGAGGGACUAUCGGCUCAAGCCGAUGGAAGUUUGAGGCAAUAACAGGUCUGUGAUGCCCUUAGAUGUUCUGGGCCGCACGCGCGCUACACUGACAGAGCCAACGAGUUCAUUUCCUUAGCCGAAAGGUUUGGGUAAUCUUGUUAAACUCUGUCGUGCUGGGGAUAGAGCAUUGCAAUUAUUGCUCUUCAACGAGGAAUGCCUAGUAAGCGCAUGUCAUCAGCAUGCGUUGAUUCCCUCCCUCCCUUUGCACUCACCGCCCGUCAAGGCGAAUCGCGGCCGCUAAAUCAAUCGCCUAUAGAGUAGC
This 940-nucleotide ribosomal RNA is filed under the name uncultured fungus. RNAcentral describes it as "bacterial SSU rRNA". It matches the Rfam family "Eukaryotic small subunit ribosomal RNA", at positions 782 to 1726 of the family's 1831-position model. Lineage: Eukaryota; Fungi. The record is from RNAcentral.